UACAGAGGGGGCAAGCGUUAUUCGGAAUUAUUGGGCGUAAAGGGCGCGUAGGCGGCCUGGCAAGUGGAAGGUGAAAUCCCUCGGCUUAACCGAGGAACUGCCCUCCAAACUGCUUGGCUUGAGUCCGGGAGAGGUGAGUGGAAUUCCCGAGUGUAGCGGUGAAAUGCGUAGAUAUUGGGAGGAACACCAGUGGCGAAGGCGGCUCACUGGACCGGAACUGACGCUGAGGCGCGAAAGCGUGGGGAGCAAACGGG
RNAcentral lists this ribosomal RNA (254 nucleotides) under uncultured bacterium. RNAcentral describes it as "partial 16S ribosomal RNA". It matches the Rfam family "Bacterial small subunit ribosomal RNA", at positions 524 to 776 of the family's 1533-position model. The record is from RNAcentral.